RNAcentral lists this transfer RNA (73 nucleotides) under Tilletia horrida. Its description in RNAcentral is "tRNA-Thr". It matches the Rfam family "tRNA". From Rfam's summary of the family: Transfer RNA (tRNA) molecules are approximately 80 nucleotides in length. Their secondary structure includes four short double-helical elements and three loops (D, anti-codon, and T loops). Lineage: Eukaryota; Fungi; Basidiomycota; Exobasidiomycetes; Tilletiales; Tilletiaceae. The record is from RNAcentral.
GCCUCAUUAGCACAGUGGUAGUUGCGCCUGCCUAGUAAGCAGGAGGUCGCUUGUUCGAUCCAGGCAUGAGGCA